GCAUGGGGGCACCCUGNACGCAGCAACGCCGCGUGAAGGAUGAAGGUUUUCGGNAANAUAAACUUCUNNAAUUAAGGACGAAACUUGACGGUACUUAAUGNNUAAGCUCCGGCUAACUACGUGCCAGCAGCCGCGGUAAUACGUAGGGAGCAAGCGUUGUCCGGAUUUACUGGGUGUAAAGGGUGCGUAGGCGGCUUUGCAAGUCAGAUGUGAAAUCUAUGGGCUCAACCCAUAAACUGCAUUUGAAACUGUAGAGCUUGAGUGAAGUAGAGGCAGGCGGAAUUCCCCGUGUAGCGGUGAAAUGCGUAGAGAUGGGGAGGAACACCAGUGGCGAAGGCGGCCUGCUGGGCUUUAACUGACGCUGAGGCACGAAAGCGUGGGUAGCAAACAGGAUUAGAUACCCUGGUAGUCCAAGGGCGAAUUC
Molecule: ribosomal RNA, 424 nt
Filed under: uncultured bacterium
Lineage: Bacteria
Description: SSU rRNA
Rfam family: Bacterial small subunit ribosomal RNA
Source: RNAcentral